GCAACCUCCUCCUCUUCGCCUGUCCCUGUGGCCCCUCCCUUCAAAGGCAUAACCUCUCCUAAUCCCCCUCCCCCGGUUUCCGUGGAGACGGCCCAGACGAGCAGGUGACGCAUUGACAGGGAGCAGAUGGUUGCCCGUGGAGGACCACACUGUCUGUGAUGGACGUCCUUCUCUAUGUCCUCAUUUCCUGGUUCAUAUGAGGGCAUGUCCUGCAGACCUCAGACCCCCACGUUUCCUAUCCAGUAACACCAGGCCACGUCCUCCUCGCCAGGAACUGACACAACAAGGACAAGCCCUUAGCGGCCUGAAGACACAUUCAUGUGCAGACUCCAGGAGCAGGAGCCUGCAGCACUGCAGCACCACCAGAGGGAGGCGCUUCGCUGCUGUUGUUCCCUGUGUUCCAGUGCCAGUCCCCUCCCAGAAGAGCCUCCCCUGAGCUCCCAGUCUGCCGAAGUCCAACAUCCUCCACUGUCACUGACUCUGGGCAGCAGGGGACUGGAUCCAACCCUGCUCCAGCCUCAGCCCUGCCUCAUGUCCAUACUCAGAAAGGAGAGAAGGAAACAGAGGAUGGUGUUAAAGAGAUGGGUGGGGGCCUUCCGCCCUCCAAGGCCAGACCAGGAGCCCAAUUCUGGUCCUGAGGACAUAGGCCCCUCUCUCCAGUCCCUAGUGUCUGUGAGGGUUCUCUCUGAGUUUAGCCGCCCACCAUCCAGCCGAAGCACAGACCUGGGUAGUGGCCUGAGCAGUCCUCUAUGUGUGAAUCUGAGUGACCUGGACUCCGAGGGUGGCUCUCCUCUCUCCCAGCACGGCUCCUCUUCCAUGUCCCUGUCUGCUCUGGCCUCAUGCACCCCACAGGACCCCCAACACACCAGCCUCCAAACCCAGCCCCUCACCACCCUCUACACCAUCCCCUCCCUCACCAGGCCCAACUCUGCCCACCUGACUGGACCACCACGGAGCCCCAGCCAGGCCAUGUCCUCCAUCACUACCCAGACCUAG
This 996-nucleotide long non-coding RNA is filed under the name Salmo trutta (river trout). RNAcentral's name for it is "lncRNA (ENSSTUG00000023099.1)". Lineage: Eukaryota; Metazoa; Chordata; Actinopteri; Salmoniformes; Salmonidae. The record is from RNAcentral.